UACGUAGGGAGCAAGCGUUGUCCGGAAUCACUGGGCGUAAAGGGCGCGUAGGCGGCUCAUGAAGGCUGUGGUGAAAGUCCGGGGCUCAACCUCGGAUCGGCCGUGGCGACUCGUGGGCUGGAGCACUGUAGAGGCGGGUGGAAUUCCUGGUGUAGCGGUGGAAUGCGCAGAUAUCAGGAGGAACACCGAUGGCGAAGGCAGGUCUCUGGGCCAUUACUGACACUGAGAAGCGAAAGCAUGGGGAGCGAACAGG
Molecule: ribosomal RNA, 253 nt
Filed under: uncultured bacterium
Lineage: Bacteria
Description: partial 16S ribosomal RNA
Rfam family: Bacterial small subunit ribosomal RNA
Source: RNAcentral